RNAcentral lists this ribosomal RNA (253 nucleotides) under uncultured bacterium. RNAcentral's name for it is "partial 16S ribosomal RNA". It matches the Rfam family "Bacterial small subunit ribosomal RNA", at positions 524 to 776 of the family's 1533-position model. The record is from RNAcentral.
UACGUAGGGGGCUAGCGUUGUCCGGAAUCAUUGGGCGUAAAGAGCGUGUAGGCGGCCAGGUAGGUCCGUUGUGAAAACUCGAGGCUCAACCUCGAGACGCCGAUGGAAACCAUCUGGCUAGAGUCCGGAAGAGGAGAGUGGAAUUCCCGGUGUAGCGGUGAAAUGCGCAGAUAUCGGGAAGAACACCCGUGGCUAAGGCGGCUCUCUAGUACGGUACUGACGCUGAGACGCGAAAGCGUGGGGAGCGAACAGG